UGGGGAAUAUUGCACAAUGGGCGAAAGCCUGAUGCAGCAACGCCGCGUGAGUGAUGAAGGUCUUCGGAUUGUAAAGCUCUGUCUUUUGGGACGAUAAUGACGGUACCAAAGGAGGAAGCCACGGCUAACUACGUGCCAGCAGCCGCGGUAAUACGUAGGUGGCGAGCGUUGUCCGGAUUUACUGGGCGUAAAGGGUGCGUAGGCGGAUGUUUAAGUGAGAUGUGAAAUACCCGGGCUUAACUUGGGUGCUGCAUUUCAAACUGGAUAUCUAGAGUGCAGGAGAGGAGAAUGGAAUUCCUAGUGUAGCGGUGAAAUGCGUAGAGAUUAGGAAGAACACCAGUGGCGAAGGCGAUUCUCUGGACUGUAACUGACGCUGAGGCACGAAAGCGUGGGUAGCAAACAGGAUUAGAUACCCUGGUAGUCCACGCCGUAAACGAUGAGUACUAGGUGUAGGAGGUAUCGACCCCUUCUGUGCCGCAGUAAACACAUUAAGUACUCCGCCGGGGAAGUACGAUCGCAAGAUU
RNAcentral lists this ribosomal RNA (524 nucleotides) under uncultured bacterium. RNAcentral describes it as "partial 16S ribosomal RNA". It matches the Rfam family "Bacterial small subunit ribosomal RNA", at positions 355 to 895 of the family's 1533-position model. The record is from RNAcentral.